Molecule: ribosomal RNA, 501 nt
Filed under: uncultured bacterium
Lineage: Bacteria
Description: partial 16S ribosomal RNA
Rfam family: Bacterial small subunit ribosomal RNA
Source: RNAcentral
ACUCAAAUGAAUUGACGGGGGCCCGCACAAGCGGUGGAGCAUGUGGAUUAAUACGUCACUAACCGUAGAACCUUACCCAGGCUUGACAUCUGCGGAAAGCGGGUGAAAGCCCGCCGUGCCCCGCAAGGGGAACCGCAAGACAGGUGUUGCAUGGCUGUCGUCAGCUCGUGUCGUGAGAUGUUGGGUUAAGUCCCGCAACGAGCGCAACCCUCACCGCCUGUUGCCAGCAUUCAGUUGGGCACUCUGGCGGAACUGCCCGGGUAACCGGGAGGAAGGUGGGGACGACGUCAAGUCAGCAUGGCCCGUACGCCUGGGGCUUCACACAUGCUACAAUGGCCGGUACAGAGGGUCCCGAGCCCGCGAGGGGGAGGCAAUCCCAAAAAGCCGGUCUCAGUUCGGAUCGCAGGCUGCAACUCGCCUGCGUGAAGUCGGAAUCGCUAGUAACCGCCGGUCAGCUAAACGGCGGUGAAUACGUUCCCGGGCCUUGUACACACCGCCCGU